ACUUAUUGUUAAUAACUAUCUCACAAUUCAACCAAUUUAUAUAUCAAAUAAUUACUUGCGUUUCGGAAUUUCAGGUUACUACUUCAAGACUUUAUCUAUUGAUAUCACCCAAACGCCUCUUUACAUUUAUCAUAAUACCUAUUUUUUUUUCAACCAAUUAACAAGUAACCACUCAGCUUGUGUUCUCUCCCUCCUACUCUCCAAUUAAGGAGAAAGGAACGGUCAUCAACAGCAACCAGCAGCUACAAUAAAGCAGCACUGGGAGCCCACUUCACGCUCAGAAGAAAACACUCAAGCUCUUCCUCGUGGAUACUGAGUUUAGACACUUUAGAGCACAUUUCACCAGUUACAAACUAUAGAA
Non-coding RNA from Pelobates cultripes (western spadefoot toad), 361 nucleotides. The record is from the annotation of a GenBank genome assembly. Lineage: Eukaryota; Metazoa; Chordata; Amphibia; Anura; Pelobatidae.